AUAUGGUAGUUUUUUCAGAUAAUCGAAUGACUUGGAAAAGUCAGUCAAAGAGGGUAAAAACCCCGUAGAUGAAAUUUGGAAGACACCUAGGAGGAUCCUGAGUACGGCGGAACACGAGGAAUUCCGUCGGAAUCCGGGAGGACCAUCUCCCAAGGCUAAAUACUCCCUAGUGACCGAUAGUGAACCAGUACCGUGAGGGAAAGGUGAAAAGCACCCCGGAAGGGGAGUGAAAUAGAACCUGAAACCGUGUGCCUACAACAAGUCAAAGCCCGUUAAUGGGUGAUGGCGUGCCUUUUGUAGAAUGAACCGGCGAGUUACGAUUGCAUGCGAGGUUAAGUCGAAGAGACGGAGCCGUAGCGAAAGCGAGUCUGAAUAGGGCGUUUGAGUAUGUAGUCGUAGACCCGAAACCAUGUGAUCUACCCAUGUCCAGGUUGAAGGUGCGGUAAAACGCACUGGAGGACCGAACCCACGUACGUUGAAAAGUGCGGGGAUGAGGUGUGGGUAGCGGAGAAAUUCCAAACGAACUUGGAGAUAGCUGGUUCUCUCCGAAAUAGCUUUAGGGCUAGCCUCGGAAUUGAGAAUGAUGGAGGUAGAGCACUGUUUGGACUAGGGGCCCAUCUCGGGUUACCGAAUUCAGAUAAACUCCGAAUGCCAUUCAUUCAUAUCCGGGAGUCAGACUGUGAGUGAUAAGAUCCAUAGUCGAAAGGGAAACAGCCCAGACCACCAGCUAAGGUCCCAAAAUAUAUGUUAAGUGGAAAAGGAUGUGGGGUUGCACAGACAACUAGGAUGUUGGCUCAGAAGCAGCCACCAUUUAAAGAGUGCGUAAUAGCUCACUAGUCGAGUGACCCUGCGCCGAAAAUGUACCGGGGCUAAACAUAUUACCGAAGCUGUGGAUAACACCUAUGGUGUUAUGGUAGGAGAGCGUUCUAAGGGCGUUGAAGGUAGAUCGUGAGGACUGCUGGAGCGCUUAGAAGUGAGAAUGCCGGUAUGAGUAGCGAAAGACAGGUGAGAAUCCUGUCCACCGAAUGACUAAGGUUUCCUGGGGAAGGCUCGUCCGCCCAGGGUUAGUCGGGACCUAAGCCGAGGCCGAAAGGCGUAGGCGAUGGAUAACAGGUUGAUAUUCCUGUACCCGUUGUUUUUGUUUGAGCAANNNNNNNNNNNNNNNNNNNNNNNNNNNNNNNNNNNNNNNNNNNNNNNNNNNNNNNNNNNNNNNNNNNNNNNNNNNNNNNNNNNNNNNNNNNNNNAGCAAUGGAGGGACGCAGGAGGCUAAGGAAUGCAGACGAUUGGAAAUGUCUGUCCAAGCAGUAAGUCUUAGGUUGAGUCAAAUGCUUAAUCUUUUAAGGACAAGCUGUGAUGGGGAGGGAAAUAAUAGUACCGAAGUUCCUGAUGUCACACUGCCAAGAAAAGCUUCUAGUGAGAAAACAACGGCCCGUACCGCAAACCGACACAGGUAGUCGAGGAGAGAAUCCUAAGGUGAGCGAGAGAACUCUCGUUAAGGAACUCGGCAAAAUGACCCCGUAACUUCGGGAGAAGGGGUGCUGAUCGUCAGAUCAGCCGCAGUGAAUAGGCCCAAGCGACUGUUUAUCAAAAACACAGGUCUCUGCAAAAUCGUAAGAUGAAGUAUAGGGGCUGACGCCUGCCCGGUGCUGGAAGGUUAAGAGGAGUGCUUAGCGUAAGCGAAGGUACGAAUUGAAGCCCCAGUAAACGGCGGCCGUAACUAUAACGGUCCUAAGGUAGCGAAAUUCCUUGUCGGGUAAGUUCCGACCCGCACGAAAGGCGUAACGAUUUGGGCACUGUCUCAACGAGAGACUCGGUGAAAUUUUAGUACCUGUGAAGAUGCAGGUUACCCGCGACAGGACGGAAAGACCCCAUGGAGCUUUACUGUAGUUUGAUAUUGAGUGUCUGUACCGCAUGUACAGGAUAGGUAGGAGCCGUAGAAAUCGGAACGCUAGUUUCGAUGGAGGCGCUGGUGGGAUACUACCCCUGCGUUAUGGCCACUCUAACCCGCACCACUAAUCGUGGUGGGAGACAGUGUCAGAUGGGCAGUUUGACUGGGGCGGUCGCCUCCUAAAAGGUAACGGAGGCGCCCAAAGGUUCCCUCAGAAUGGUUGGAAAUCAUUCGAAGAGUGUAAAGGCAGAAGGGAGCUUGACUGCGAGACCAACAAGUCGAGCAGGGACGAAAGUCGGGCUUAGUGAUCCGGUGGUUCCGCAUGGAAGGGCCAUCGCUCAACGGAUAAAAGCUACCCUGGGGAUAACAGGCUUAUCUCCCCCAAGAGUCCACAUCGACGGGGAGGUUUGGCACCUCGAUGUCGGCUCGUCGCAUCCUGGGGCUGUAGUCGGUCCCAAGGGUUGGGCUGUUCGCCCAUUAAAGCGGCACGCGAGCUGGGUUCAGAACGUCGUGAGACAGUUCGGUCCCUAUCCGUCGCGGGCGUUGGAAAUUUGAGAGGAGCUGUCCUUAGUACGAGAGGACCGGGAUGGACUUACCGCUGGUGUACCAGUUGUUCUGCCAAGGGCAUUGCUGGGUAGCUAUGUAGGGAAGGGAUAAACGCUGAAAGCAUCUAAGUGUGAAGCCCACCUCAAGAUGAGAUUUCCCAUUUCUUUAAGAAAGUAAGAUCCCUGAGAGAUGAUCAGGUAGAUAGGUCAGAAGUGGAAGUACAGUGAUGUAUGGAGCGGACUGAUACUAAUCGAUCGAGGACUUAACCAA
This 2704-nucleotide ribosomal RNA is filed under the name Enterococcus thailandicus. RNAcentral describes it as "partial 23S ribosomal RNA". It matches the Rfam family "Bacterial large subunit ribosomal RNA", at positions 311 to 2925 of the family's 2925-position model. Lineage: Bacteria; Bacillati; Bacillota; Bacilli; Lactobacillales; Enterococcaceae. The record is from RNAcentral.